This is a non-coding RNA of Phrynosoma platyrhinos (Desert horned lizard), 72 nucleotides long. Lineage: Eukaryota; Metazoa; Chordata; Lepidosauria; Squamata; Phrynosomatidae. The record is from the annotation of a GenBank genome assembly.
GCCAGCGUAGCGUAGUGGUUUGAGUGUUGGACUACAACGCUGGAGACCAGGGUCUGAAUCCCAGCUCAGCCA